Molecule: ribosomal RNA, 485 nt
Filed under: uncultured bacterium
Lineage: Bacteria
Description: partial 16S ribosomal RNA
Rfam family: Bacterial small subunit ribosomal RNA
Source: RNAcentral
ACUGAACGCUGGCGGCAGGCUUAACACAUGCAAGUCGAGCGGGGGAAGGUAGCUUGCUACCGGACCUAGCGGCGGACGGGUGAGUAAUGCUUAGGAAUCUGCCUAUUAGUGGGGGACAACAUCUCGACAGGGAUGCUAAUACCGCAUACGUCCUACGGGAGAAAGCAGGGGAUCUUAGGUCCUUGCGCUAAUAGAUGAGCCUAAGUCGGAUUAGCUAGUUGGUGGGGUAAAUGCCUACCAAGGCGACGAUCUGUAGCGGGUCUGAGAGGAUGACCCGCCACACCGGGACUGAGACACCGCCCAGACUCCUGAAGGAGGCAGCAGGGGGGAAUACUGGACGAAUGGGGGAACGCUGAACCAGGCAUGCCGCGUGUGGUGAUGAAGCCUUAUGGAUGUAAAGAACUUUAAACGAGGAGGAGGCUACUUUAGUUAAUACUUAGAGAAAGUGGACGUUACUCGCAGAAUAAGCACCGGCUAACUCUGUG